CCCACAUACGGCAAGUCCGUCCUUUGUCUCUACCUGCUUCAGCCUUCUCUUCAUACAGAGCAAGGGCCAGAGCAAGUUCUCUACUCCGUGUUGACAUUUUUACAUCCAGUAAAGUUAGGUAGAAUUACUUGCAACAAAUGUAUCGUAGCAACCAAAGCAGUCGGAAAAAAUGCCGCGCCUCAAAAACGCCCGCUAGUGCUCCCUGCUGGCCGUUUUCAGAACAGCAGCAGGCGUUUUCAGCUGGCAAAAAACGCUUUGGUGGACACGGGCCCUUAAGAGUGUAGCAGGAAAAGAAGUUGCAACAACUUGAAAUACUCUGAAAUAUAAUGUACAAAUCCAGAAAAGAAACUACAUAAUCAAAGUAACAAAGUAUUUGUACAUAGUUACUUUAUACCUCUCGUUUUAUUCCAUGGGUAAUGGACAUAUUGUAACCAGUAGAAGAUGCACCAAGGAUCAAGGCAAUUUGGAGGAGGAUUGUUCUUUAUCUGCUAUGUUGCACUGUCACUUCCGGUACAGAUUCAUUAUGGUGGUAUGCUCCUAGUGUUUUCCUGUUUUCUCCCUUCCCCGUGCGUCUGUUUGUCAGCUAUCUAUCUCCUGUUCGCGUUUGUGAGCGGUGCACUACCUAGCAGGCACCUAUCAGCAGAAAGAAGAACCUCCAGAAGAACAGCCAUCUCUGCAGCAUUCCACCAAUCACGCCUGUAAGGUAAAGUGGCCAGAUGGAAGCCACUCCUCAGUAGAAGGUACAUGACAGCCGGCCUGGAGUUUGCCAAAAAGUACCUGAAGGACUCUCAGAUCAUGAGAAAAAAAAACUCUCUGGUCUGAUGAAACAAAGCGAGCGUCAUGUCUGGAGGAAACCAGGAACCGCUCAUGGAAGGGCCAAUACCAUCCCUAUAGUGAAACAUGGUGGUGGCAGAAUCAUGCUGUGGGGAUGUUUUUUAGUGGCAGGAACUGGGACAUCCUUGAUGAAAAUCUGCUCCAGAGCGCUCUGGACCUCAGACUGGGGCGAAGUUUCAACUUCCAAAAGGACAAUGACC
Molecule: long non-coding RNA, 1034 nt
Organism: Micropterus dolomieu (smallmouth bass)
Lineage: Eukaryota; Metazoa; Chordata; Actinopteri; Centrarchiformes; Centrarchidae
Exons: 3
Source: RefSeq, a predicted model, not a curated record